This 529-nucleotide ribosomal RNA is filed under the name uncultured bacterium. RNAcentral describes it as "bacterial SSU rRNA". It matches the Rfam family "Bacterial small subunit ribosomal RNA", at positions 981 to 1509 of the family's 1533-position model. The record is from RNAcentral.
UUGACAUACUAAGAACUUUCCAGAGAUGGAUUGGUGCCUUCGGGAACUUAGAUACAGGUGCUGCAUGGCUGUCGUCAGCUCGUGUCGUGAGAUGUUGGGUUAAGUCCCGCAGCGAGCGCAACCCUUUUCCUUAUUUGCCAGCGGGUCAUGCCGGGAACUUUAAGGAUACUGCCAGUGACAAACUGGAGGAAGGCGGGGACGACGUCAAGUCAUCAUGGCCCUUACGGCCAGGGCUACACACGUGCUACAAUGGUCGGUACAAAGGGUUGCUACCUCGCGAGAGGAUGCUAAUCUCAAAAAGCCGAUCGUAGUCCGGAUCGCAGUCUGCAACUCGACUGCGUGAAGUCGGAAUCGCUAGUAAUCGCGGAUCAGAAUGCCGCGGUGAAUACGUUCCCGGGCCUUGUACACACCGCCCGUCACACCAUGGGAGUUUGUUGCACCAGAAGUAGGUAGUCUAACCGCAAGGAGGACGCUUACCACGGUGUGGCCGAUGACUGGGGCGAAGUCGUAACAAGGUAGGCGUAGAUGA